UGUUAAGUAUCCCGCCUGGGGAGUACGUUCGCAAGAAUGAAACUCAAAGGAAUUGACGCGGGCCCGCACUAGCGGUGGAGCAUGUGGUUUAAUUCGAUGCAACGUGAAGAACCUUACCAGGUCUUGACAUCCCGAGAAUAAUCCAGAGAGAGAGGGGUGCCUUCGGGAACUCGGACACAGGUGGUGCAUGGCGGUCGUCAGCUCGUGCCGUAAGAUGUUGGGUUAAGUCCCGCAACGAGCGCAACCCUUGUCUUUAGUUGCCAGCGGUUAGUUUGGAACCCCGAACAGACCUCCGGUGAUAAACCGGAAGGAGGUUAGGACGACGGCAAGUUAAUCUGCCCCUUAUUCCUUAGGGGACCACAUGGGCUUAAAGGCCGCGACAAAGGGGCGGGAUCCUCGCCAGAUCAACCAGGUCCAAAAACCCGCGUCCAAUUCCGAUUGGGGGUUGCCAAUCGCUCCCCCGAAGCCCGAAAAGGUUCUAAACGACGGUCAUGCAUUAGGCGGCAAUCAGUUCCCG
Molecule: ribosomal RNA, 517 nt
Filed under: uncultured bacterium
Lineage: Bacteria
Description: bacterial SSU rRNA
Rfam family: Bacterial small subunit ribosomal RNA
Source: RNAcentral